AUACGGAGGAUCCGAGCGUUAUCCGGAUUUAUUGGGUUUAAAGGGAGCGUAGGUGGACAGUUAAGUCAGUUGUGAAAGUUUGCGGCUCAACCGUAAAAUUGCAGUUGAUACUGGCUGUCUUGAGUACAGUAGAGGUGGGCGGAAUUCGUGGGGUAGCGGUGAAAUGCUUAGAUAUCACGAAGAACUCCGAUUGCGAAGGCAGCUCACUGGACUGCAACUGACUCUGAUGCGCGAAAGUGUGUGUAUCAAACAGGAUUAGAUACCCUGGUAGUCCACACAGUAAACGAUUAAUACUCGCUGUGUGCGAUAUACAGUAAGCGGUCAAGCGAAAGCAUUAAGGAUUCCACCUGGGGACUACGCCGGCAACGGUGAAACUGAAAUGAAUUGACGGGG
This 393-nucleotide ribosomal RNA is filed under the name uncultured bacterium. RNAcentral's name for it is "partial 16S ribosomal RNA". It matches the Rfam family "Bacterial small subunit ribosomal RNA", at positions 523 to 918 of the family's 1533-position model. The record is from RNAcentral.